RNAcentral lists this ribosomal RNA (253 nucleotides) under uncultured bacterium. RNAcentral describes it as "partial 16S ribosomal RNA". It matches the Rfam family "Bacterial small subunit ribosomal RNA", at positions 524 to 776 of the family's 1533-position model. The record is from RNAcentral.
UACAGAGGGUGCGAGCGUUGUCCGGAAUUAUUGGGCGUAAAGCGCGCGCAGGCGGUUUCUUAAGUCUGAUGUGAAAGCCCACGGCUCAACCGUGGAGGGUCAUUGGAAACUGGGAAACUUGAGUGCAGAAGAGAAGAGCGGAAUUCCACGUGUAGCGGUGAAAUGCGUAGAGAUGUGGAGGAACACCAGUGGCGAAGGCGGCUCUUUGGUCUGUAACUGACGCUGAGGCGCGAAAGCGUGGGGAGCGAACAGG